This 274-nucleotide ribosomal RNA is filed under the name uncultured bacterium. RNAcentral describes it as "partial 16S ribosomal RNA". It matches the Rfam family "Bacterial small subunit ribosomal RNA", at positions 523 to 796 of the family's 1533-position model. The record is from RNAcentral.
AUACGGAGGGUGCAAGCGUUAAUCGGAAUUACUGGGCGUAAAGCGCGCGUAGGCGGCUACUUAAGUCAGAUGUGAAAUCCCCGGGCUCAACCUGGGAACUGCAUCUGAUACUGGGUAGCUAGAGUUUAGGAGAGGGAAGUAGAAUUUCAGGUGUAGCGGUGAAAUGCAUAGAGAUCUGAAGGAAUACCAGUGGCGAAGGCGGCUUCCUGGCCUAAAACUGACGCUGAGGUGCGAAAGCGUGGGUAGCAAACGGGAUUAGAAACCCCAGUAGUCC